CAAGGGUUAGUUUAACAAAAACACUUAAUUUCGACUUAAAAAACUUCGGAAAAUCCGAAACCCUUUU
Molecule: transfer RNA, 67 nt
Filed under: Iconaster longimanus
Lineage: Eukaryota; Metazoa; Echinodermata; Asteroidea; Valvatida; Goniasteridae
Description: tRNA-Arg
Source: RNAcentral